AUUGAACGCUGGCGGCAUGCCUUACACAUGCAAGUCGAACGGUAACGGGCCUUCGGGUGCCGACGAGUGGCGAACGGGUGAGUAAUGCAUCGGAACGUACCUUUCAGUGGGGGAUAACGUAGCGAAAGUUACGCUAAUACCGCAUAUUCUGUGAGCAGGAAAGCAGGGGAUCGCAAGACCUUGCGCUGAUUGAGCGGCCGAUGUCAGAUUAGCUAGUUGGUGAGGUGAAGGCUCACCAAGGCGACGAUCUGUAGCGGGUCUGAGAGGAUGAUCCGCCACACUGGAACUGAGACACGGUCCAGACUCCUACGGGAGGCAGCAGUGGGGAAUUUUGGACAAUGGGGGCAACCCUGAUCCAGCCAUGCCGCGUGAGUGAAGAAGGCCUC
This 386-nucleotide ribosomal RNA is filed under the name uncultured bacterium. Its description in RNAcentral is "bacterial SSU rRNA". It matches the Rfam family "Bacterial small subunit ribosomal RNA", at positions 30 to 418 of the family's 1533-position model. The record is from RNAcentral.